This 118-nucleotide small RNA is filed under the name Marmota monax (woodchuck). Lineage: Eukaryota; Metazoa; Chordata; Mammalia; Rodentia; Sciuridae. The record is from RNAcentral.
GCGAGGUGUGGUGGCGCACGCUUGUAAUCCCAGCAUCUCGGGAGGCUGAGACAGGAGGAUCUUGAGUCAACCUCAGCAAAGGCAAGGCGCUAAGCAACUCAGUGAGAACCUGUCUCUU